RNAcentral lists this ribosomal RNA (253 nucleotides) under uncultured bacterium. Its description in RNAcentral is "partial 16S ribosomal RNA". It matches the Rfam family "Bacterial small subunit ribosomal RNA", at positions 524 to 776 of the family's 1533-position model. The record is from RNAcentral.
UACGUAGGGUGCAAGCGUUACCCGGAUUUAUUGGGCGUAAAGCGUGCGCAGGCGGUAGGAUAAGUCACCACUGAAAUCUCAGGGCUCAACCCUGAUACUGGUGGUGAUACUGUCAAACUAGAUUUCUUGAGGGGGUACCGGAACAGUUGGUGGAGCAGUGAAAUGCGUUGAGAUCAACUGGAACACCAAAGGCGAAGGCAGGUACCUGGCAAGACAAUGACGCUGUUGCACGAAAGCGUGGGGAGCAAAACGG